This is an unclassified non-coding RNA of Bison bison bison, 298 nucleotides long. Its record names the gene 7SK. It matches the Rfam family "7SK RNA". From Rfam's summary of the family: 7SK was discovered as an abundant small nuclear RNA in the mid-70s but a possible function has only recently been suggested. NCBI's taxonomy places the organism in Eukaryota, Metazoa, Chordata, Mammalia, Artiodactyla, Bovidae. The record is from Ensembl.
GGACGUGAGGGUGAUCUGGUUGCAACACCUGUCACCCAGUGGUUGCAGGGUUGACUCAGCUGAUCUGACUGGGUAGGUGCGUGUCCCCCGCUCCCUCACCGCCCCACGUGUGUCCCUCCUGCAGCUGCACGCUCGGUCAAAGAGGACGACCGUCCCAACAGAGGAGGACCAAUCUCCCGUCAAGGGUGUACUGUGCUCCCCUGCUAGAGCCUCCAAACAAGCUCUCAGGAAACACGUUUGAAUAUAACAGCACAAAGUGCAAAUAAAGCAAACGCUAGAUAAACGAACAGAUAAAUUU